This is a long non-coding RNA of Eucalyptus grandis, 879 nucleotides long. RefSeq lists it as uncharacterized. The transcript has 3 exons. The record is from RefSeq and is a predicted model, not a curated record. Lineage: Eukaryota; Viridiplantae; Streptophyta; Magnoliopsida; Myrtales; Myrtaceae.
CAUCUGAUUCUUUCUGUGCUGCCAUUUAUGUUUAUAAGAACAUGCUCGUUCUAUGUAUGUUCAUGUUCACGUGCUCCUGCUGUCUCCCUGCGGCCACACAUUCACCUCUCUUGAUCUCUCCCUCUCGCGGAUACAAAUUCACUGUGCGAAGCAAAAUGUCGGGUUUUGGCAUGAAAGUUGCUGCGUUUGUGGUGUUGCUCUCCAUGUCGGGUGCUGCAGCUCAGGACUCUGAAAUCGCGCCUUUACCGGCAAUGCUAACCGGAGCCAGUUUCGCUCUUCUUGUUCCUUGCGUUCUCGUCUGCUGCACUGCGCUUCUCAUCCUGGUUCAUGGUGUUUUUCAGCUCACAAUUUUAUGGUGAUGAUCAAUUGGCUACACUCCAAACAUGCCAACUCGACUAGGGCAUACGGCCAUAAGAUCACCUGAACUCUGAUCUUAACACCAGUAAAUCAAAAGAACCAGUACCCAUCUUCAUAGGUAGCCCGAGGCAUAUCCGAGCGGAUGGGGUCUCCAAGUUGUCAACCACCCCAUGAUAUGCUGCAUCGACAAUGAACUUGGAAGCUGUCUCAAAGGACAUCUUACUGAAAGGUGAUAUGGACUCUGCUAUACCACCAAGUCUGUUCAUUGGACGAUACCCACCUGCGUGGGUCAUGAAGUCUGCAAUCAAGGUGAGGUGACGCAUAUCCACAGAUAUUCCAUAUGAACCGAAGACAUUCUGCACCUCCCGUAUGAUGGUUUCUCUGGCAGCUUCCACCCCAUAUGUAGUGAGCAUCGCGUGGAUAUCAUUCGAAUAUAUAUAUCUAAUGUCCAGCUGAUCUUGCAUUUGCCACAACGCACAAAAAUCCGCUCCGUUUGUAUUAAUUGCCGGAAUUGCUUCUUUA